Molecule: long non-coding RNA, 401 nt
Organism: Mauremys mutica (yellowpond turtle)
Lineage: Eukaryota; Metazoa; Chordata; Testudines; Geoemydidae
Exons: 3
Source: RefSeq, a predicted model, not a curated record
GGGGCAGCUUUUACCAUCAGACUCUGAAAAAAUAUCCCAAGAGGCCAAUGGCCUGUUUCAAGCAGAGAUUGCCAUUGUUAUAACGGAAGAGUCCAACCAGAAAGUGUCCUGCUGUGUCAGGAACCCCCAACUCAACCAGGAGAGAGAGUCAACGUUUUCCAUAGCAGGGCUGUUUUUCCCCAGAGCCAAUCCCUGGAUGGUGGCUUUCUGUGUGAUCCUGCCUCUCCUGGUUGUUCUCAUUGUCCUGGUCUGUUACUUUUUCUGGAGGCAACACAGAGUGGAUGGGUGUUGAAGAUUUCGAAAUGCAGCUCAUUCAGUUAAAAAGCUCAGAACUGUGGGCAUCAAAGUUUGGAGAUCUGUGGAGCGCACUUGAAGCUACCAAGAGAGAUCAUGGGGAGAUA